CCUACGGGUGGCAGCAGUGGGGAAUAUUGUUCAAUGGACGAGAGUCUGAACCAGCCAAGUAGCGUGAAUGAUGACUGCCCUCUGGUUUGUAAGCUUCUUUUGUGGAGAAAUAAAACGAAGCGCUUGUACCUUUUUGCAUGUACUUUAUGAGUAAGGAUAGGCUAGCUCCGUUCCAGCAGCCGCGGUAAUACGGAGGAUCCGGGCGUUAUCCGGAUUGAUUGUGUUUAAAGUGAGCUUAGAGGGGUUGUCAAGUCAGUUGUGAAGGUUUGCGGCUCAACCGGAAAACUGCAAUUGAUACUGGCAGGCUGGAGUAUAGUAGAGGUGGGUGGAAUUCGAGGUGUAGCGGUGAAAUGCUUAUAUAUCACGAAGAAUACCGAUUGCGAAGACAG
Molecule: ribosomal RNA, 389 nt
Filed under: uncultured bacterium
Lineage: Bacteria
Description: partial 16S ribosomal RNA
Rfam family: Bacterial small subunit ribosomal RNA
Source: RNAcentral